This 491-nucleotide ribosomal RNA is filed under the name uncultured bacterium. RNAcentral describes it as "partial 16S ribosomal RNA". It matches the Rfam family "Bacterial small subunit ribosomal RNA", at positions 29 to 506 of the family's 1533-position model. The record is from RNAcentral.
AGUGAACGCUGGCGGUAGGCCUAACACAUGCAAGUCGAACGGCAGCACAGUAAGAGCUUGCUCUUACGGGUGGCGAGUGGCGGACGGGUGAGGAAUACAUCGGAAUCUACUUUUUCGUGGGGGAUAACGUAGGGAAACUUACGCUAAUACCGCAUACGACCUACGGGUGAAAGCAGGGGAUCUUCGGACCUUGCGCGAUUGAAUGAGCCGAUGUCGGAUUAGCUAGUUGGCGGGGUAAAGGCCCACCAAAGCGACGAUCCGUAGCUGGUCUGAGAGGAUGAUCAGCCACACUGGAACUGAGACACGGUCCAGACUCCUACGGGAGGCAGCAGUGGGGAAUAUUGGACAAUGGGCGCAAGCCUGAUCCAGCCAUACCGCGUGGGUGAAGAAGGCCUUCGGGUUGUAAAGCCCUUUUGUUGGGAAAGAAAAGCAGCAGGUUAAUACCCCGCUGUUCUGACGGUACCCAAAGAAUAAGCACCGGCUAACUUCGU